AGCGCGGCGCUCGGAGGAGCUGCCGGCGUUUGGCUGCGCUUGGUCCUUGGGAUCUGGUUCGCACGGCGGUCCUCGCGCGGGCCUCGUCCCCCCGCCCGCCUGCCUCGGGAUCCUUUUGCGUUCUGAACUGUCCCAUAUGAUAGCUAACAAUCUCUGAGAAUUUCCCGUUGGCCAGACUGAGCGCUCUACGUAUUAAAUCGUCUAAGGGAGAAAAAGUGGGUGACUGUGGGUGACACGUCCCUUAGGAUAUUUAAGUGGGUUCCCGUGACAGACAGCAAGGAG
Molecule: long non-coding RNA, 282 nt
Organism: Physeter macrocephalus (sperm whale)
Lineage: Eukaryota; Metazoa; Chordata; Mammalia; Artiodactyla; Physeteridae
Exons: 2
Source: RefSeq, a predicted model, not a curated record